AUGGGAAAGGAAAAGAAGAAGAGGGAAAAAGGAGAAGUAAGACAUGCAUGUGGAAUUUUUGAAGUCUUGGAAGUGAAUCAAGCUUUGAAGUGCUACUCAUAUUCAUCUACUCUCAAAUUACAUGUUGUUGAAUUAAAAAGGUGUGCUGUAGAAGUAGGAGGAUUUACUAUAGGACUUGAAGAGUGGGAGCCUUAA
Vicia faba (fava bean) is the source of this 195-nucleotide non-coding RNA. NCBI's taxonomy places the organism in Eukaryota, Viridiplantae, Streptophyta, Magnoliopsida, Fabales, Fabaceae. The record is from the annotation of a GenBank genome assembly.